Molecule: long non-coding RNA, 1456 nt
Filed under: Triticum aestivum (bread wheat)
Lineage: Eukaryota; Viridiplantae; Streptophyta; Magnoliopsida; Poales; Poaceae
Description: long non-coding RNA (TAES_LNC004236)
Source: RNAcentral
GUUUGUCCAAAUCCAACGAAACCAACGCCCACGUCUUCGUUAUGAUCUCCUCUAACCAGUAAAACAACUUAAACAUGUUUUUGAAAGUUUUAAAAUUUGAAUUCAAACAGAUUUGUAUUCAAACUUCUUUUGUUCAUAACUUGAGUUCCGUAGCUCCGUUUGAGUUGAUUCUUUUUGCAAAUCGAAGCUCUUGACCUAAAAUUUCUGAUAAGGCCAAAUUCACAUAAUUUUGGUACUGUUAGAAAUUGUUUUAUGUUGCAAGAGUUAUUUGCUUGGUUUGAUGUUUCCCGAAUCGUCUUCUUCGUUCUUUCUGAUCUUUUGAGUGAUUGCUUAUGUGUGGUUACCAUUGCUUGCUUGCGAUAGAUUGACCAGAGUGUGACGAGUAGAUCUAUCAGGAGUUUUGAGUGCGAAUCAUCUUCAUCAACAUUGCAGGCAAGUAACACUUUGAUCAUACCCCGUUCAUACCCAGUUUUAUUGCAUUAGAUCUAUUCCUUCAAACACAUUGCAUGAUUAGGAUCUAAUAAACUGUGGGUAUUGGGAAGUAGUUGAGGUAGUAUCUAUUACCUGUUUUUCUAUCAAACCCUUGGGAGUUACUUCUACGUUGCUUUUAUUAUUGCCAUGCUAUGCUCGUAGACGUGGAUUGGGUUUGAGUGAAAUUCAUGACAGAUGUGAGAUUGUUAAUUAAUGGUUUACUUAAGGUGGCAACUUAAACUCACAUCUGGGUGGAUUGAGGUACCUGGGUAUUCCAGGAUUGCCUAUUUUUCUUUUGGACCGCCACCCAGGUUCAAAGGGAUCAUGAGAUUUUUCAUGCUAGAAACUUCCGUGUGCAGCCGCAAGCUAUUAUGGGCUCUAGCAUAGUUGAUUAAGUUGUGUGAACUUUUACAGUGGUAGACUAGCAGAUGUAGGGGAAAGUAGGUGUAACGGUCUACCCAUACGUAAGGUGCAAACAUUUCUGAAAGACUGUGCCUUGGUCAUCCGUUACUCAAACACCAUGUAGUGCGAGUAAUCCAACGGAGGAGAUCAAGUCUUGUGGGAAAAGUGCACAAACCUCUGCAGAGUGUACAGACUGAUCAUGAUUAGCCGUGUCCCCGGUUAUGGACAUCUUGAGUAUCUAGUUCUUGGAUUAUCCCGUUGAUCUCAUCAUGUUACUCUAAUUAAUAUUGUUGGGUUAAUGAUGAUACUUAAUUGGGAUUGAGAUGCUGUCAACCAUCUCAAUGUUUCACAACCACCAUGAUAGUUAAAUAAAAUUUAUUCCUUUGCAAUAGGGAAAAACUGGCUUUUCGCAAAAACAUUAUAACCAUAGAGCUUUUCCACCAGCCAUAUAUGCAUGUAGUGAUAGCCUUUGUUCAUCAUUUCUCUAUGGUGUGAAUUUGCCAGUACAUUCAAUGUACUGACCCGUUUUCGGGCUGCAACGUUUCAUGUUGCAGGAUUCUUACGUCGAGUAAGUGAUUCGUUA